This 454-nucleotide ribosomal RNA is filed under the name uncultured bacterium. RNAcentral describes it as "bacterial SSU rRNA". It matches the Rfam family "Bacterial small subunit ribosomal RNA", at positions 64 to 507 of the family's 1533-position model. The record is from RNAcentral.
GAACGGUAGCACAGAGGAGCUUGCUCCUUGGGUGACGAGUGGCGGACGGGUGAGUAAUGUCUGGGAAACUGCCCGAUGGAGGGGGAUAACUACUGGAAACGGUAGCUAAUACCGCAUAACGUCUUCGGACCAAAGUGGGGGACCUUCGGGCCUCACACCAUCGGAUGUGCCCAGAUGGGAUUAGCUAGUAGGUGGGGUAAUGGCUCACCUAGGCGACGAUCCCUAGCUGGUCUGAGAGGAUGACCAGCCACACUGGAACUGAGACACGGUCCAGACUCCUACGGGAGGCAGCAGUGGGGAGUAUUGCACAAUGGGCGCAAGCCUGAUGCAGCCAUGCCGCGUGUAUGAAGAAGGCCUUCGGGUUGUAAAGUACUUUCAGUGGGGAGGAAGGCGUUAAGGUUAAUAGCCUUGACGAUUGACGUUACCCGCAGAAGAAGCACCGGCUAACUCCGUG